RNAcentral lists this ribosomal RNA (194 nucleotides) under uncultured bacterium. RNAcentral describes it as "partial 16S ribosomal RNA". It matches the Rfam family "Bacterial small subunit ribosomal RNA", at positions 338 to 523 of the family's 1533-position model. The record is from RNAcentral.
CCUACGGGAGGCAGCAGUGGGGAAUAUCGGACAAUGGGGGCAACCCUGACCCAGCCAUGCCGCGUGUGUGAAGAAGGCCUUUUGGUUGUAAAGCACUUUAAGCAGUGAAGAAGACUCCAUGGUUAAUACCCAUGGACGAUGACAUUAGCUGCAGAAUAAGCACCGGCUAACUCUGUGCCAGCAGCCUACGGGAG